GACGAACGCUGGCGGCGUGCUUAACACAUGCAAGUCGAGCGGUAAGGCCCUUUCGGGGGUACACGAGCGGCGAACGGGUGAGUAACACGUGGGUGACCUGCCCUCAGCUCUGGGAUAAGCCUGGGAAACCGGGUCUAAUACUGGAUAUGACUCCAUGACGCAUGUUGUGGGGUGGAAAGCCUUGUGCGGCUGAGGAUGGGCCCGCGGCCUAUCAGCUUGUUGGUGGGGUGANGGCCUACCAAGGCGACGACGGGUAGCCGGCCUGAGAGGACGAUCAGCCACACUGGCACUGCGACACGGGCCAGACUCCUACGGGAGGCAGCAGUAAGGAAUAUUGCGCAAUGGACGACAGUCUGACGCAGCGACGCCGCGUGGGGACGAAGUCUC
RNAcentral lists this ribosomal RNA (387 nucleotides) under uncultured bacterium. Its description in RNAcentral is "bacterial SSU rRNA". It matches the Rfam family "Bacterial small subunit ribosomal RNA", at positions 28 to 417 of the family's 1533-position model. The record is from RNAcentral.